Zalophus californianus (California sea lion) is the source of this 191-nucleotide small nuclear RNA. Its record names the gene U2. It matches the Rfam family "U2 spliceosomal RNA". Rfam says of the family: U2 is a small nuclear RNA (snRNA) component of the spliceosome (involved in pre-mRNA splicing). Complementary binding between U2 snRNA (in an area lying towards the 5' end but 3' to hairpin I) and the branchpoint sequence (BPS) of the intron results the bulging out of an unpaired adenosine, on the BPS, which initiates a nucleophilic attack at the intronic 5' splice site, thus starting the first of two transesterification reactions that mediate splicing. NCBI's taxonomy places the organism in Eukaryota, Metazoa, Chordata, Mammalia, Carnivora, Otariidae. The record is from Ensembl.
AUCACUUCUCAGCCUUUUGGCUAGGAUCAAGUGCAGCAUCUGUUCUUACCAGUUUAAUAUCUGAUAUGUUCUCUGUCCAAGGACAAUAUAUUAAAUGGGUUUUGGGAGCAGGGAGAUGGAAUAGGAGUUUGCUCUGUCCACCCUGCGCCUCGAACUGGUGUUGCAGUACCUCUAGGAAUGGUGCACCCCCA